Molecule: ribosomal RNA, 402 nt
Filed under: uncultured bacterium
Lineage: Bacteria
Description: bacterial SSU rRNA
Rfam family: Bacterial small subunit ribosomal RNA
Source: RNAcentral
AACGAACGCUGGCGGCGCGCCUAACACAUGCAAGUCGAACGAGAAGGCGUAGCAAUACGCUUGUAGAGUGGCGAACGGGUGAGUAAUACGUGGGUGACCUACCCUCGAGUGGGGAAUAACCCGCCGAAAGGCGGGCUAAUGCCGCGUACGCUUCCGUCCUCACGGGGACGGAAGGAAAGCUGUACCGUGGGUACGGCGCUCAAGGAUGGGCUCACGUCCUAUCAGCUUGUUGGUGGGGUGAUGGCCUACCAAGGCGACGACGGGUAGCCGGCCUGAGAGGGCCGACCGGCCACACUGGGACUGAGACACGGCCCAGACUCCUACGGGAGGCAGCAGUGGGGAAUCUUGCGCAAUGGGCGAAAGCCUGACGCAGCGACGCCGCGUGAGGGAUGACGGCCUGGU